CUAGUAAGAUCCCUUGAAGAACACAAGGUUGAUAGGUCGGGGGUGUAAGCAUGGUAACAUGUUCAGCUGACCGAUACUAAUAGAUCGAGGGCUUGACCAAAUAU
Molecule: ribosomal RNA, 104 nt
Filed under: Clostridium perfringens
Lineage: Bacteria; Bacillati; Bacillota; Clostridia; Eubacteriales; Clostridiaceae
Description: partial 23S ribosomal RNA
Rfam family: Bacterial large subunit ribosomal RNA
Source: RNAcentral